This is a non-coding RNA of Notechis scutatus (mainland tiger snake), 120 nucleotides long. Lineage: Eukaryota; Metazoa; Chordata; Lepidosauria; Squamata; Elapidae. The record is from RefSeq and is a predicted model, not a curated record.
CAGUAUUCCAGGUAUUAUCCAUUCCAGCCAGUAACUCCAAGACGAACAUAAUCUCAAAGUACUUUUAUUAAAAUAGAAACUUGACACAUCUGUGGAAUUCCGAAACUAGAAGAGAUUGGA